AGAAUCAACGCUGGCGGCGUGCCUAACACAUGCAAGUCGCACGAGAAAGUGGAGCAAUCCACGAGUAAAGUGGCGCACGGGUGAGUAACACGUGAAUAAUCUACCUCCGAGUGGGGAAUAACUGAGAGAAAUCUUAGCUAAUACCGCAUAACACCUACGGGUCAAAGGAGCAAUUCGCUUCAGGAGGGGGUCGCGGCAGAUUAGAUAGUUGGCGGGGUAAUGGCCCACCAAGUCAGUGAUCUGUA
RNAcentral lists this ribosomal RNA (245 nucleotides) under uncultured bacterium. RNAcentral describes it as "partial small subunit ribosomal RNA". It matches the Rfam family "Bacterial small subunit ribosomal RNA", at positions 26 to 285 of the family's 1533-position model. The record is from RNAcentral.